CCUACGGGUGGCAGCAGUGAGGAAUAUUGGUCAAUGGGCGUAAGCCUGAACCAGCCAAGUCGCGUGAGGGAUGAAGGUUCUAUGGAUCGUAAACCUCUUUUAUAAGGUAAUAAAGUGUGGGACGUGUCCUAUUUUGUAUGUACCUUAUGUAUAAGGAUCGGCUAACUACGUGCCAGCAGCCGCGCUAAUACGGAGGAUCCGAGCGUUAUCCGGACUUAUUGGGUUUAAAGGGUGCGUAGGCGGCCUUUUAAGUCAGCGGUGAAAGUCUGUGGCUCAACCAUAGAAUUGCCGUUGAAACUGGGGGGCUUGAGUAUGUAUGAGGAAGGGGGAAUGCGUGGUGUAGCGGUGAAAUGCUUAGAUAUCACGAAGAACCCCGAUUGCGAAGGCAGCCUGCCAAGCCAUGACUGACGCUGAUGCACGAAAGCGUGGGGAUCAAACAGGAUUAGAUACCCGUGUAGUC
RNAcentral lists this ribosomal RNA (460 nucleotides) under uncultured bacterium. Its description in RNAcentral is "partial 16S ribosomal RNA". It matches the Rfam family "Bacterial small subunit ribosomal RNA", at positions 338 to 795 of the family's 1533-position model. The record is from RNAcentral.